AGUGAACGCUGGCGGUAGGCCUAACACAUGCAAGUCGAACGGCAGCACAGUAAGAGCUUGCUCUUACGGGUGGCGAGUGGCGGACGGGUGAGGAAUACAUCGGAAUCUACUUUUUCGUGGGGGCUAACGUAGGGAAACUUACGCUAAUACCGCAUACGACCUACGGGUGAAAGCAGGGGAUCUUCGGACCUUGCGCGAUUGAAUGAGCCGAUGUCGGAUUAGCUAGUUGGCGGGGUAAAGGCCCACCAAGGCGACGCUCCGUAGCUGGUCUGAGAGGAUGAUCAGCCACACUGGAACUGAGACACGGUCCAGACUCCUACGGGAGGCCGCAGUGGGGAAUAUUGGACAAUGGGCGCAAGCCUGAUCCAGCCAUACCGCGUGGGUGAAGAAGGCCUUCGGGUUGUAAAGCCCUUUUGUUGGGAAAGAAAAGCAGCAGGUUAAUACCCCGCUGUUCUGACGGUACCCAAAGAAUAAGCACCGGCUAACUUCGUG
RNAcentral lists this ribosomal RNA (492 nucleotides) under uncultured bacterium. RNAcentral describes it as "partial 16S ribosomal RNA". It matches the Rfam family "Bacterial small subunit ribosomal RNA", at positions 29 to 507 of the family's 1533-position model. The record is from RNAcentral.